Long non-coding RNA from Oreochromis aureus, 1585 nucleotides. NCBI's taxonomy places the organism in Eukaryota, Metazoa, Chordata, Actinopteri, Cichliformes, Cichlidae. The record is from Ensembl.
AAUCUUCCAUCGCACCUCCAGCUGAUCCGCUGUCCAUAUCGGAUGGGAGGUAAGCAUGGGAGGAGGCGUUGGAUUUGGGGAAGGGAGGGUGAUGGUGAGAGUGUAUCAGUAUCAGUGUACAUGUGUGCGUGCGUGUGUGUGUGUGUGUGUGUGUGUGUGUGUGUGUAUCCUAUGUUCAGCUGAGAGAAAGUGUCACCACGCCCGGUUAAGCGAAGGUCAACAGUCUCCAGUGGACCCAGGUGGCCUUGAAGGAGGGACAAAGAGUUCUGACAACAGUCCUGUUUAUCAUGGAAGAAUUUUUGUUGUUCCAGUCAGCUUUGACCUUGGCAGGCCUUCAGCUGGCGCCAGUGGGAUAGCCGCAUGAGUGAAGAUGGUGAAUGUUUGUGUUUAGUGUAAACAACUGCAUCGAAUUUUUACAGUUUGUCAAAUGUCCGUUACUGGUCACCAAUUCUCUCAAUUCCCGUUCUUCUUCUCCAAGAUCUUACCCAUUUCAAAACCAUGAGCUUCUCCAAGAUGUUAUCCAUAUUGCGUUCAAUAAACACAGUCUGAGUAUUCACAGCCCUGCCCAUCGUCUGUCACAGGGGUGUCGAACUCGCCUCGAGGGCCGGUGUCCUGCAGGGUUUACAUAUCACCCUGGGUCAUCACACCUGAAUCAAAUGAUUAGUUCAUUCCCGGGCCUCUGGAGAACUUCAAGACAUAUUGAGGAGGUCAUUUGGCAUUUAAAUCAGCUGUGUUGCAUCAAGGACACAUCUAAAUCCUGCAGGACACCGGCCCUCGAGGCCUAGAGUGCGACACCCCUGGUCUAUCAUGUCGGCCAUCCUUGUGGGAUUUUGAACAGCUGUAGCCGCUUCUUGUUCUUCGAUAAGCCAGGGCUGAGCCAGCUCCAAUCAGCCAGAACUCUGUUAUCGUGUUUCUGAAUUGGUAGAUGUCAUUCAAUGUCCACAAUUGAGAGUGUCGCCAGACACAGGAUGCAAAACAACCAUCGAGUAUCCGGCAGCAAACGUCUCAGCAGGACAAUCGGACUCUCCCAAGCCCAGGAGGGUUUCAAUUUCGUUACGGGGCCAGUUGAUCAAAUCCAUAAUUUUUUCGGUUUUAGAGAACAAGACUGAGAGACUCUUUGAGGGUUAGAGUUAGACGAGACUAGACACAGACAUAGAAGCAGCAGGGAAGACAAGGGAAGGAGAGGGUGAAAGAUGCGUCCGCCUCCUCCGAGAGCCAAAGAAAAGAGUGGGGAGAGUUUAGACGCUCUCCAAGAUUACAUCGACCAGUGCUCCGAGGGUGUAGUUAUGAAGAAGGUCCAAAGCGCAUCUUCCCCGGCAAAAUAUGAGAUCCCGUCGGCAGACUCCCCCGGCUCAACAUCACCUGCCGGCAAACACAUUACUGACUUCCUGGAGUCAAUUGGCAUGCGAAUCUCCAGCUCGUUGUCCCUGGUGUAGAUGGAAUGUUCGGAAUUCCGGAAUGCGCCUAGGUUCCGGAAUGUUCGGAAUUCCGGAAUGCGCCUAGGUUCCGGAAUGUUCGGAAUUCCGGAAUGCGCCAAGGUUCCGGAAUGUUCGGAAUUCCGGAAUGUUCGGAAUUCCGGAAUGCG